AAUCUGGCUUCAGGUUCGGGACAACAGUUGGAAACGGCUGCUAAUACCGGAUGUGCCCUUGGGUGAAAGAUUUAUCACCUGAAGAUGAGCUCGCGUCUGAUUAGCUAGUAGGUGUGGUAAGAGCGCACCUAGGCGACGAUCAGUAGCUGGUCUGAGAGGAUGAUCAGCCACACUGGGACUGAGACACGGCCCAGACUCCUACGGGAGGCAGCAGUGGGGAAUUUUCCGCAAUGGGCGAAAGCCUGACGGAGCAAUACCGCGUGAGGGAGGAAGGCUCUUGGGUUGUAAACCUCUUUUCUCAGGGAAGAAUGAUGACGGUACCUGAGGAAUAAGCAUCGGCUAACUCCGUGCCAGCAGCCGCGGUAAUACGGAGGAUGCAAGCGUUAUCCGGAAUGAUUGGGCGUAAAGCGUCCGCAGGUGGCAAUGUAAGUCUGCUGUCAAAGCGUCUGGCUCAACCAGAUAAAGGCAGUGGAAACUACAUAGCUAGAGUAAGGUAGGGGUAGAGGGAAUUCCUGGUGUAGCGGUGAAAUGCGUAGAGAUCAGGAAGAACACCGGUGGCGAAAGCGCUCUGCUGGACCUUAACUGACACUGAGGGACGAAAGCUAGGGGAGCGAAUGGGAUUAGAUACCCCAGUAGUCCUAGCCGUAAACGAUGGAUACUAGGCGUUGC
This 669-nucleotide ribosomal RNA is filed under the name uncultured cyanobacterium. Its description in RNAcentral is "bacterial SSU rRNA". It matches the Rfam family "Bacterial small subunit ribosomal RNA", at positions 123 to 826 of the family's 1533-position model. The record is from RNAcentral. Lineage: Bacteria; Bacillati; Cyanobacteriota.